CGCGUAGGCGGCCGAUCAGGUCAGAUGUGAAAGCCCGGGGCUUAACCCCGGAAGUGCAUUUGAAACCGGUUGGCUUGAGUAUGGGAGAGGAGAGCGGAAUUCCUGGUGUAGAGGUGAAAUUCGUAGAUAUCAGGAGGAACACCGGUGGCGAAGGCGGCUCUCUGGACCAAUACUGACGCUGAGGCGCGAAGGCGUGGGUAGCAAACA
RNAcentral lists this ribosomal RNA (207 nucleotides) under uncultured Desulfobacteraceae bacterium. Its description in RNAcentral is "partial 16S ribosomal RNA". It matches the Rfam family "Bacterial small subunit ribosomal RNA", at positions 568 to 774 of the family's 1533-position model. Lineage: Bacteria; Pseudomonadati; Thermodesulfobacteriota; Desulfobacteria; Desulfobacterales; Desulfobacteraceae. The record is from RNAcentral.